This 268-nucleotide ribosomal RNA is filed under the name uncultured prokaryote. RNAcentral's name for it is "partial 16S ribosomal RNA". It matches the Rfam family "Bacterial small subunit ribosomal RNA", at positions 524 to 792 of the family's 1533-position model. The record is from RNAcentral.
UACGUAGGUGGCAAGCGUUAUCCGGAAUUAUUGGGCGUAAAGAGCGCGCAGGUGGUUGAUUAAGUCUGAUGUGAAAGCCCACGGCUUAACCGUGGAGGGUCAUUGGAAACUGGUCGACUUGAGUGCAGAAGAGGGAAGUGGAAUUCCAUGUGUAGCGGUGAAAUGCGUAGAGAUAUGGAGGAACACCAGUGGCGAAGGCGGCUUCCUGGUCUGUAACUGACACUGAGGCGCGAAAGCGUGGGGAGCAAACAGGAUUAGAUACCCGGUA